RNAcentral lists this long non-coding RNA (242 nucleotides) under Elaeis guineensis (African oil palm). Its description in RNAcentral is "long non-coding RNA (EGUI_LNC005983)". Lineage: Eukaryota; Viridiplantae; Streptophyta; Magnoliopsida; Arecales; Arecaceae. The record is from RNAcentral.
UCAGCCCAACCUGGACCACAACGCGGAGCUGCGGAAGACGACCGUUGCUUCCUCCACUUCGACGACCCCGGACGAAGUCGGAGUCUGAUCACCAGACCCUAGGGUGCUCUAUAAAUAGAUCCCUCUACCUUCAAAGAUCCUUAACCACUAUCCAUUCCUUUGUUUUCUCCCUCUCUCUCUCUCUUCAAGUUCAAUGUUUUGUAGCACUAUGGCCGUCGGAAAUCAAGCCUGCAGCAGCCAUC